AUGAAAACAAGUGCCCCCGUGGUUUGUGGGCAGGGACCAAGGAUUGAUCGUCGUUCCAUAAAACCUUUUAAGAUGACAAGAUCCAAGGAUAUUCAGCUUCACCAUCUACCUACAGAUGUACUGCAUCGUAUACUAUCACAAUUGACAAUGAAAGAAGCCAUGCGAAUGAGCAUACUAUCUAAGAAGUGGAGAAGGCUUUGGAAAUGCUACCCAAAGUUAGUAUUCACCAGAGCCAUGAUGUGUCGCAGUAACGCCACGACAGGCCCUGCAAAACCCUUGCGGACAAGGUUUAUCAGGGGGGUCAACAGCAUCCAGCGACAGCUCAAGUCAUCCAACCUGAAUAAGUUUGUGGUCAAGUUUGCGCUUCGCAAAAGGCACACACCUCACAUUGAUAGAUGGGUCAAUUUCUGUGCCUCGUCGAUGGCGAAGCAUGUUGUUCUCGAUUUAUGUCCAGGGCCGAAAGGCAGUACCGACACAGAUGACAAGUACAGUUUCCCGCUGCAUCUUCUCGGCGCCUCGGGUGGUUCUUGCGUGAAGUCUCUUAGUCUGGGGUUCGUCUAUUUAGCACUGCCUCCUGAUCACCGUGGAUUUGCAAACCUUAAGAAGCUCUCUCUGGAAAUAGUUCAUGUCACAGGGGAUCUCGGGCGCCUGCUCCCAAAAUGCGCUGUUCUUGAGUGGCUAAGCCUCACCAGGUGUAGACUGGACGAGCUAAGCAUAGGUGAGGAACUGAGCAGGCUCCGUUGUUUGCAGGUCAAGUACUGUAUGCUGCAGAAGCUGCAUGUCCGAGCUCCAAACCUCGCCAUGUUUGUGUUCGCUGGUCGUGUGAUACCUAUAUUGCUUGGUGAAUCUGUGAAGAUUUCAGAGGCGACGGUCGACUUGGUCACAUCCUCGGACUGCUUCAAUUACGUCUUCACUGAUCUUGUCGAUGCUCUUUCGCAUGUUCCGUCCCUCUCCAUAGGCUUCCGAAUUGAAACCAAGGUGAUAAAUUUUGUGAAAAAUCGGACCAUGCUCACAAAUCUGAGACGUCUGGUCCUGAAAAUCGAUAUUGUUGGGUCGCCGGAAGUCACUGGUGGGAUUCUUCGUUUGGCCUAUCUGUUGGAGUUAGCCCCUGCUUUGGAAGAGUUAGUACUCCAUAUGCAUUGUUUUGACUCGGCAAUCUAUGGUGAACCAAGAGAAGAUGCCUACCAGCCACAUCCUCACCGUCAUCUCAAGACUAUCAAAAUGACGGGGUUCUAUGGAUUACUUGGUCAGGUUGAGCUAGCACUCUACCUUCUUCGGAAUGCGACUUCUCUCGAGCGUAUGAUCAUAGAUCCGGUGGUGAGGAAUAAUUGGCCUAUUCCACCCAUGGGUGGAGCAAAGCAAGAUAUAGACCGGGGCACGUCGAUUGCCCUCAAUAAACUUUCGAGGCAAGAGUUCAGAAAGGUCCUUGACAUUCUGUAUUAA
Molecule: ribosomal RNA, 1443 nt
Filed under: Triticum aestivum (bread wheat)
Lineage: Eukaryota; Viridiplantae; Streptophyta; Magnoliopsida; Poales; Poaceae
Description: partial small subunit ribosomal RNA
Source: RNAcentral